UACGUCUAAGGAUGGCAGCAGGCGCGCAAAUUACCCACUCUCAGAACGAGGAGGUAGUGACGAGAAAUAACGAGACAGUUCUCUUACGAGGCCUGUCAUCGGAAUGGGUACAAUCUAAACCCUUUAACGAGUAUCUAUGAGAGGGCAAGUCUGGUGCCAGCAGCCGCGGUAAUUCCAGCUCUCAAAAUGCAUAGAAUUAUUGCUGCGGUUAAAAAGCUCGUAGUUGGAUCUGUGCUGGCGUCCCGGUCCGCCCUCGCGGGCGUGCACUGGAUUCGCCGGUUUUCCGCUCAACUCCUG
RNAcentral lists this ribosomal RNA (297 nucleotides) under Nacobbus aberrans. Its description in RNAcentral is "partial 18S ribosomal RNA". It matches the Rfam family "Eukaryotic small subunit ribosomal RNA", at positions 411 to 707 of the family's 1831-position model. The record is from RNAcentral. Lineage: Eukaryota; Metazoa; Nematoda; Chromadorea; Rhabditida; Pratylenchidae.